CCUACGGGCGACAGCAGUCGAGAAUCAUUCACAAUGGGGGAAACCCUGAUGCUGCGACGCCGCGUGGGGGAUUGAAGGUCUUCGGUUUGUAAACCCCUGUCAUGUGGGAGCAAAUUAAAUAGAUAGUACCACAAGAGGUAGAGACGGCUAACUCAGUGCCAGCAGCCGCGGUAAUACGGAGGUCGCAAGCGUUGUUCGGAGUCACUGGGCGUAAAGCGUGCGUAGGCGGUAUGUAAAGUCGUGUGUGAAAGGCGCGGGCUCAACCCGGGGACGGCACCUGAUACUGCGAGACUGGAGUGAGGGAGAGGGAAGUGGAAUUCGCGGUGUAGGAGUGAAAUGCGUAGAUAUCGGGAGGAACACUCGUGGCGAAGGCGAGUACCUGGACAUUAACUGACGCUGAGGCACGAAGGCGAGGGGAGCAAAAGGGAUUAGAUACCCUAGUAGUC
This 446-nucleotide ribosomal RNA is filed under the name uncultured bacterium. RNAcentral describes it as "partial 16S ribosomal RNA". It matches the Rfam family "Bacterial small subunit ribosomal RNA", at positions 338 to 795 of the family's 1533-position model. The record is from RNAcentral.